This 205-nucleotide ribosomal RNA is filed under the name uncultured bacterium. Its description in RNAcentral is "partial 16S ribosomal RNA". It matches the Rfam family "Bacterial small subunit ribosomal RNA", at positions 570 to 774 of the family's 1533-position model. The record is from RNAcentral.
CGUAGGUGGUUUGUUAAGCGAGAUGUGAAAGCCCCGGGCUUAACCUGGGAACGGCAUUUCGAACUGGCAGACUAGAGUGUGGUAGAGGGUAGUGGAAUUUCCUGUGUAGCGGUGAAAUGCGUAGAUAUAGGAAGGAACACCAGUGGCGAAGGCGGCUACCUGGACCAACACUGACACUGAGGUGCGAAAGCGUGGGGAGCAAACA